This 446-nucleotide ribosomal RNA is filed under the name uncultured bacterium. RNAcentral's name for it is "partial 16S ribosomal RNA". It matches the Rfam family "Bacterial small subunit ribosomal RNA", at positions 338 to 795 of the family's 1533-position model. The record is from RNAcentral.
CCUACGGGUGGCAGCAGUCGAGAAUCAUUCACAAUGGGGGAAACCCUGAUGGUGCGACGCCGCGUGGGGGAAUGAAGGUCUUCGGAUUGUAAACCCCUGUCAUGUGGGAGCAAAUUAAAAAGAUAGUACCACAAGAGGAAGAGACGGCUAACUCUGUGCCAGCAGCCGCGGUAAUACAGAGGUCUCAAGCGUUGUUCGGAAUCACUGGGCGUAAAGCGUGCGUAGGCUGUUUCGUAAGUCGUGUGUGAAAGGCGCGGGCUCAACCCGCGGACGGCACAUGAUACUGCGAGACUAGAGUAAGGGAGGGGGAACCGGAAUUCUCUGUGUAGCAGUGAAAUGCGUAGAUAUCGAGAGGAACACUCGUGGCGAAGGCGGGUUCCUGGACAUUAACUGACGCUGAGGCACGAAGGCCAGGGGAGCGAAAGGGAUUAGAUACCCGAGUAGUC